UUUACCAGAGUCGCUCGUCUCUGUCAGCAGCGCUGCGGAUGGUCUCCGGCCAAAUUUCAGCAGCCCCGAGCCCCUUCCGCCUUCCCUGGGCCACUGCUAAAGCCCCACGAACCCCUGAACCCAUUCCCAUCUUUAGCUUUUCCCAGGAGCCACGGCGUGCGCAACCCAAGUCUUUCCUGACCCUCUCUCCGCCAUGGCUGGAGGAGAGCUCACCCCGAGCUCCCCAACUACCCUAGAGCCUUCGAGAGGACGAGGCCCUCCCCCCUGAGCACUCCGGUAUGCUCAGCACGGCGAAUGGUGCCGCCCAUCGCCGGAGGCCUUACCUCCCCUCGACCAGAGGAGUGAGACGACCGAUUUGACCAGCGUCAAACUUGUUGCUGGGCCCCACGCGUCAGCGACAGGACCGAGCCACCGCCCGCGUGAGUGGAGACGCCUUCCACCAAGUACGCCUCUCCCUCGCGCUUACGCAUUUCCUGCCGAAGCAUUUUCUUUUAUAUUGGUUUUUAAAAACAGUGUUGACCAGAAAGUUUGACUGGCUCUAACUUUUAAAAUACAACUCCAAAUCAUUUGAUUCUUUGUCCUACCUGUUUAGAAUUUCAGCUAGUUUAUUUUCCUAUUUAUUUCAAAAAAAAAUCAAACAAAUUUAGUGUGUUGUUUUAUUUUUGGGUGUUGAUUCAAAUAUUUUUCAAAAUAGGAUUUUGAAGAGAGGAUACCUACUCCAAGAUGUGCGGUACACAUCACCCUCCUUGAACCCCUAAGGCAAGAAUCUUGAAUCCAAAUUUGCAUAAAGUUGUGUGAUUCUUGUGGUGGUGCAUAUACUGCGUGAUUUUAGAUUAUGUGGAUGGAAAUCUCGCAUGAAAUAAUAUGUUGCAUAUUAGCAUGUGAUGGAUAUUGUUGUUGCUAAGUUUGUGGAAGGCAAGUGGUGAGUGGUUACUGCCUCAUACUUCGUAUGCUACGUUGGUCUGGACAACCUCAGAAUAAGGUUUUUCUAGUGGAGAUGAGACCAUAGGCUGACGCCUCGUGGGACGAGAGUGGUCAGUGAAAGCAUGUCGGGCUGUGAUGGUAGUAACCCGAAGAUAAUCUCUUCAACAAGAUGGUGUGGGACUAACCCUUGCAGGAAAAAUAUUAAACCUCCUAAGUCGAUCGUAGAUUGAGUCUUGUCUAUGUGUCACCUUACCCUUCGUGCUACCACAGUUUCCUGGAUAAUGGAUUCGAUAUAGUAGGUUGUAGACGUAUUAUUAGUCACACACCAAGUAGAGGGGCCGGGAUAAAGGUAUCCAGGGCCCUGGACUAAAUCCAGUGAUCGGGUCAGGGGGCAUGGGUGUUUCCGGUCUGGGACCGGAAGGGUGGGCACUCCCCAUUGGCGCGCGAUAUAAAUUUUGAUUCCAGCUAGCCGAGGUCGGAGCCUCCCCGUCUUAUGGUUUUGCCUUGGCAGCGUAGUCCAGGUGAAGCCGGGCUUCGCGGAGGAAAAAUCGGUGUGUGAUGGUUCUGAGAGUUUACUUCUAAAAUACCAUACGCGGGAUUAGUCCGAGUGACUAUAGAAAACCGUGGGCUAUGGGUAAAGAGUACACCCACUACAGAGUCAAAACUAUUCGAGUAGUCGUGUCCACGGUCAAGGAUGACUGGUUGACUAGUCAAGUACCGGUAUGAGUGUUGGUCUUCGGAGGAAGUUAUAGAAAUCGUGAGACUAAUCCGGAAAUGUGGUGGAUGACCCUAUUAUUAUUAUUACUCUGGACUAACCCCUAUGAUUAUGUUUGUCGAAUAUCCCUGGGACGGUUCUACCUCUAGGAUAUUCUUCAUAUACUAUUAGUUCUUAUAAGUCCUUUCCGUGGUGUCGCUCAGUCGCCCGACUAUGGCAUGUUUAUUGUUUCAUAUAAGCCUUUUAUGUGGUGUCACCUAGACGCCCGACUAAGGCAUGCUUAUUAUUAUUAUUAUUAUUUCUUAUAAGCCCAUUAUGUGGUGUCUCUAAGACGCCCGAUUGUGGCCUGUUAUUUAUUUUAAGCCCUUUUUGUGGGGUCCCUCUGAUGCCCGACUGCGGCACGCAUAUCAUUCAUUAUUACCUUCCUUUCUUGUUGAUAAAAUAUUGAUGGAAAAAUUGUGUAUCUGCAUGAAUGCAUUCAUGAGUUAAACUCUAAUGGCAUGAUAUAAUUGUUAGUGUAAUUUGCAUGCAUCUCACCUGCUUUAACUUAUUUGUUUUCUUGAUGUUUGUGAGUACAUUCAAAGUACUCACUGGAUUGUCCCUGGCUAAUGUCUUGGCCAGAUUGCGUUCGGAAAGGAGCAUGAUGUCGUCAGCCCCCGAACCUAAGAGUCAAGGAUAGCAGCCUUGUGAGAUAGGAAUUUAUCCAGGUCGGCUGUUCUUGUGGGAAUGGAGUCCCUUGGGCACUGGAGAUUCCUCGAGUCGCUUCCGCCGUCAACCUCGGAAUUUUGUUCAACCCAGUAGACCUCAUGGUCUUAUAACCCAUAUUUUGUAUUUUUCUUGGAUAUUCUGUAUCAAGUAAGUGUCUACCAGCUAACAACAAUCCUAGGGUUGGUAAACACAUAGUCCUGUUUUUUGGAAAUUAUUUUCGGGAAAACACAACACUACAAUGCCACAUGCUCAAGUAAAUCACAAUUGGUUGAAGAAUCAUAUAUAUGUCUCUCGAUGCAUGUUUAGUUCAAGGAAAGAAAUGGGAAGGAAUUUCAAAAACCUCGGUGUCACGGAUCGGCCGCAAAAAUUGAGAAGCUUGGUUUUUAAAUUCUUGUAAAUCGAAAACUCUUGUGAAAUUCAUGAAACUUGGCAUGGUGUCAUGAAAUGGAACCAACAUGAUCUCGUAAUUCUUUUUCUAAUUUGGGAGAAGUUUUGGCAUAAGCUUCUUACGAACCAGAGCAUCUCACUAGAAGACUCAUGCUUCUCGUAGGGAACGUGUCUCCUUUGUGGACGAAACAACAUUCCUGCCUAUUAA
RNAcentral lists this long non-coding RNA (2942 nucleotides) under Hordeum vulgare. RNAcentral's name for it is "long non-coding RNA (HVUL_LNC015442)". Lineage: Eukaryota; Viridiplantae; Streptophyta; Magnoliopsida; Poales; Poaceae. The record is from RNAcentral.